This 484-nucleotide ribosomal RNA is filed under the name uncultured bacterium. RNAcentral describes it as "partial 16S ribosomal RNA". It matches the Rfam family "Bacterial small subunit ribosomal RNA", at positions 30 to 507 of the family's 1533-position model. The record is from RNAcentral.
AUUGAACGCUGGCGGCAGGCCUAACACAUGCAAGUCGAGCGGAUGAAGGGAGCUUGCUCCUGGAUUCAGCGGCGGACGGGUGAGUAAUGCCUAGGAAUCUGCCUGGUAGUGGGGGAUAACGUCCGGAAACGGGCGCUAAUACCGCAUACGUCCUGAGGGAGAAAGUGGGGGAUCUUCGGACCUCACGCUAUCAGAUGAGCCUAGGUCGGAUUAGCUAGUUGGUGGGGUAAAGGCCUACCAAGGCGACGAUCCGUAACUGGUCUGAGAGGAUGAUCAGUCACACUGGAACUGAGACACGGUCCAGACUCCUACGAGAGGCAGCAGUGGGGAAUAUUGGACAGAGGGCGAGAGCCUGAUCCAGCCAUGCCGCGUGUGUGAAGAAGGUCUUCGGAUUGUAAAGCACGUUAAGUUGGGAGGAAGGGCAGUAAGUUAAUACCUUGCUGUUUUGACGUUACCAGCAGAAUAAGCACCGGCUAACUUCGUG